CAGUCGCCGCGGUAAUACGAAGGGGGCUAGCGUUGUUCGGAUUUACUGGGCGUAAAGGGCGCGUAGGCGGACUGAUAAGUCAGGGGUGAAAUCCCAAGGCUCAACCUUGGAACUGCCUUUGAUACUGUUUGUCUUGAGUUCGAGAGAGGUAAGUGGAACUGCGAGUGUAGAGGUGAAAUUCGUAGAUAUUCGUAAGAACACCAGUGGCGAAGGCGGCUUACUGGCUCGAAACUGACGCUGAGGCGCGAAAGCGUGGGGAGCAAACAGGAUUAGAUACCCCGGUAGUCCCUGUCUCUUAUAA
This 301-nucleotide ribosomal RNA is filed under the name uncultured bacterium. Its description in RNAcentral is "partial 16S ribosomal RNA". It matches the Rfam family "Bacterial small subunit ribosomal RNA", at positions 509 to 809 of the family's 1533-position model. The record is from RNAcentral.